RNAcentral lists this ribosomal RNA (406 nucleotides) under uncultured bacterium. Its description in RNAcentral is "partial 16S ribosomal RNA". It matches the Rfam family "Bacterial small subunit ribosomal RNA", at positions 29 to 526 of the family's 1533-position model. The record is from RNAcentral.
AUUGAACGCUGGCGGCAGGCUUAACACAUGCAAGUCGAGCGAGCGGCGGACGGGUGAGUAAUGUCUGGGAAACUGCCUGAUGGAGGGGGAUAACUACUGGAAACGGUAGCUAAUACCGCAUACCAUCAGAUGUGCCCAGAUGGGAUUAGCUAGUAGGUGGGGUAAUGGCUCACCUAGGCGACGAUCCCUAGCUGGUCUGAGAGGAUGACCAGACAAACUGGAACUGGGACACGGGACAGAAUCCGACGGGAGGAAGUAGGGGGGAAUAGUGCACAAGGGGAGAAAGCCGGAUGCAGCCAUGCCGCGGGUGUGAAGAAGGCAUUCGGGUUGUAAAGCAAUUUCAGCGAGGAGGCGUUACUCGAAGAAGAAGCACCGGCUAACUCCGUGCCAGCAGCCGCGGUAAUUC